Molecule: ribosomal RNA, 1298 nt
Filed under: Vibrio alginolyticus
Lineage: Bacteria; Pseudomonadati; Pseudomonadota; Gammaproteobacteria; Vibrionales; Vibrionaceae
Description: bacterial SSU rRNA
Rfam family: Bacterial small subunit ribosomal RNA
Source: RNAcentral
GCGUCGAGCGGCGGACGGGUGAGUAAUGCCUAGGAAAUUGCCCUGAUGUGGGGGAUAACCAUUGGAAACGAUGGCUAAUACCGCAUGAUGCCUACGGGCCAAAGAGGGGGACCUUCGGGCCUCUCGCGUCAGGAUAUGCCUAGGUGGGAUUAGCUAGUUGGUGAGGUAAGGGCUCACCAAGGCGACGAUCCCUAGCUGGUCUGAGAGGAUGAUCAGCCACACUGGAACUGAGACACGGUCCAGACUCCUACGGGAGGCAGCAGUGGGGAAUAUUGCACAAUGGGCGCAAGCCUGAUGCAGCCAUGCCGCGUGUGUGAAGAAGGCCUUCGGGUUGUAAAGCACUUUCAGUCGUGAGGAAGGUGGUGUAGUUAAUAGCUGCAUUAUUUGACGUUAGCGACAGAAGAAGCACCGGCUAACUCCGUGCCAGCAGCCGCGGUAAUACGGAGGGUGCGAGCGUUAAUCGGAAUUACUGGGCGUAAAGCGCAUGCAGGUGGUUUGUUAAGUCAGAUGUGAAAGCCCGGGGCUCAACCUCGGAAUAGCAUUUGAAACUGGCAGACUAGAGUACUGUAGAGGGGGGUAGAAUUUCAGGUGUAGCGGUGAAAUGCGUAGAGAUCUGAAGGAAUACCGGUGGCGAAGGCGGCCCCCUGGACAGAUACUGACACUCAGAUGCGAAAGCGUGGGGAGCAAACAGGAUUAGAUACCCUGGUAGUCCACGCCGUAAACGAUGUCUACUUGGAGGUUGUGGCCUUGAGCCGUGGCUUUCGGAGCUAACGCGUUAAGUAGACCGCCUGGGGAGUACGGUCGCAAGAUUAAAACUCAAAUGAAUUGACGGGGGCCCGCACAAGCGGUGGAGCAUGUGGUUUAAUUCGAUGCAACGCGAAGAACCUUACCUACUCUUGACAUCCAGAGAACUUUCCAGAGAUGGAUUGGUGCCUUCGGGAACUCUGAGACAGGUGCUGCAUGGCUGUCGUCAGCUCGUGUUGUGAAAUGUUGGGUUAAGUCCCGCAACGAGCGCAACCCUUAUCCUUGUUUGCCAGCGAGUAAUGUCGGGAACUCCAGGGAGACUGCCGGUGAUAAACCGGAGGAAGGUGGGGACGACGUCAAGUCAUCAUGGCCCUUACGAGUAGGGCUACACACGUGCUACAAUGGCGCAUACAGAGGGCGGCCAACUUGCGAAAGUGAGCGAAUCCCAAAAAGUGCGUCGUAGUCCGGAUUGGAGUCUGCAACUCGACUCCAUGAAGUCGGAAUCGCUAGUAAUCGUGGAUCAGAAUGCCACGGUGAAUACGUUCCCGGGCCUU